RNAcentral lists this long non-coding RNA (780 nucleotides) under Pongo abelii (Sumatran orangutan). RNAcentral's name for it is "lincRNA". Lineage: Eukaryota; Metazoa; Chordata; Mammalia; Primates; Hominidae. The record is from RNAcentral.
GCACGACUUGUUCUUGCCUUCUAAAGCAGAGAGGAGCUUUUGUGGGUAGUUCCUACAGGGAUACAUGGUAGAAAAUUCACCAAACCCAGUGCUGGAGUGUUUCUCUUCCUCAGAAGAAAUCAGAUGCCGUUCAAAGCACCAAGGCUAGAAUUUUACCCUGGUUCUCGUGCUACGCUGCACCCAGGUUGGAUCCUGAGUACAGUUUUUGGCAGGAAGCCCCAGAGAGAUUGGUAAGGGUGAUUUCCCAGGAAGACGCAGUGUGCUCUGACUUCUGUGACAGCGAGCAGCGGGACCAAUGGAUGUCCAGAUGCUGGCAAUGAGACAUGCUCUGGAGUCAGAAGACGGCGAAAAGAGAAGCAGAAGCCUCGGUGGCAAGAGUCCGAAGGACGCAAUCACUGUAACCUGUGGAUUGUACUGCAGUAGGAAACUAUCCUAGCGAGGCUCUGCUUUGCCCCAGCUUCAAGGUGUAUCGUCUCAAAAUGCAGCAUACUUCAGAUGAGUUCUGAGCACCCUUUCUUUUAUUAUAAAAAAAAUUCCAGACAGUUCAGCCAAUACCGACUAAGGGCUGAGACCAGUUCCAUGCUUUUCUGUCUCCGGAGGAAUUUGCUUCCGUCUGGAUGCCUGAAACGCUGGAAAGGAGGAGAACAUGAAACGUUGCUUGAAGACAAUGGCCGAGACAGCAGGUCCCACCCUGCACAGCCACCAGCAUCUCUCCCCUCAGCCCUGUCUCCUCUUCUGCAGUUGGGAUCUGCACAUUUAAGCCCCAAAUUGUCCUGUGAA